RNAcentral lists this long non-coding RNA (251 nucleotides) under Mytilus galloprovincialis (Mediterranean mussel). Lineage: Eukaryota; Metazoa; Mollusca; Bivalvia; Mytilida; Mytilidae. The record is from RNAcentral.
CGUCGUCGUCCUGCGUUAACUUUUACAAAAAUCUUCUCCUCUGAAACUACUGGGCCAAAUUUAACCAAACUUGGCCAUAAUCAUCAUUGGGGUAUGUAGUUUAAAAAAUGUGUCCGGUGACCCGGCCAACCAACCAAGAUGGCCGCCAUGGCUAAAAAUAGAACAUAGGGGUAAACUGCAGUUUUUGGCUUAUAACUCAAAAACCAAAGCAUUUAGAGCAAAUCUGACAGGGUAAAAUUGUUCAUCAGGUC